GACAAAUAAAUCGAAUACCCUCAUAUAAUAACGGGGAUAGGGCCUGUAAGUUUCUACCCGGCUGCCGUAAACGGCCGGACUAUGAGGGGAAGUGACUGUCUG
Molecule: non-coding RNA, 102 nt
Filed under: Rossellomorea aquimaris
Lineage: Bacteria; Bacillati; Bacillota; Bacilli; Caryophanales; Bacillaceae
Also listed under: 1 other name
Description: Bacillus aquimaris Purine riboswitch aptamer
Rfam family: Purine riboswitch aptamer
About the family: Riboswitches are metabolite binding domains within certain messenger RNAs that serve as precision sensors for their corresponding targets. Allosteric rearrangement of mRNA structure is mediated by ligand binding, and this results in modulation of gene expression. A class of riboswitches that selectively recognises guanine and becomes saturated at concentrations as low as 5 nM.
Source: Rfam by way of RNAcentral